Molecule: microRNA, 22 nt
Filed under: Heligmosomoides polygyrus
Lineage: Eukaryota; Metazoa; Nematoda; Chromadorea; Rhabditida; Heligmosomidae
Description: hpo-miR-259-3p
Gene: hpo-miR-259-3p
Source: miRBase by way of RNAcentral
GACGAAUUCGUCUGGGAUUGGC